RNAcentral lists this ribosomal RNA (261 nucleotides) under uncultured archaeon. RNAcentral's name for it is "partial 16S ribosomal RNA". It matches the Rfam family "Archaeal small subunit ribosomal RNA", at positions 748 to 1009 of the family's 1478-position model. The record is from RNAcentral.
AGGGUGUAAACGCUGCAGACUUGGUGUUGGGAACCCUUCGGGGGUGCUCAGUGCCGGAGAGAAGUUGUUAAGUCUGCUACUUGGGGAGUACGUCCGCAAGGAUGAAACUUAAAGGAAUUGGCGGGGGAGCACCGCAACGGGAGGAGCGUGCGGUUUAAUUGGAUUCAACGCCGAAAAACUCACCAGCAGCGACUGUUACAUGAAAGUCAGGUUGAUGACCUUACUAGAUUUUCAGAGAGGUGGUGCAUGGCGUAGACGUCU